GACGAACGCUGGCGGCGUGCUUAACACAUGCAAGUCGAACGGAAAGACCCUGAUGUUGUGGGGUUGUCGAGUGGCGAGCGGGUGAGUGACACAUGUGUAACCUCCCCUUGACUAUGGGGUAACAUCUGGAAAAAGGGGCUGAUACCGCAUAGGAUCUCCUGCUGCGGAGUGGGGGUUAGAAAGUGUCGGCGGUUGGGGCUGGACUCGGGGCUUAUCAGCUUGUUGGGGGGGUAGUGGCUUACCCAGGAUUUGACGGGUAGCCGGCCUGUGAGGGUGACCGGCCACAAUGGGACUGAGAUACGGCCCAGACUGCUACGGGAGGCAGCAGUGGGGAAUAUUGCACAAUGGGCGGAAGCCUGAUGCAGCAACGCCGCGUGCGGGAUGACGGCCUUCGGGUUGUAAAACGGUUGCGCCUGUGACGAAGAGUGAGUGACGGUAAUGGGUAAAGAAGCACCGGCUAACUACGUG
This 468-nucleotide ribosomal RNA is filed under the name uncultured bacterium. Its description in RNAcentral is "partial 16S ribosomal RNA". It matches the Rfam family "Bacterial small subunit ribosomal RNA", at positions 28 to 507 of the family's 1533-position model. The record is from RNAcentral.